GAUGAACGCUGGCGGCGUGCCUAAUACAUGCAAGUCGAGCGAACAGACGAGGAGCUUGCUCCUCUGACGUUAGCGGCGGACGGGUGAGUAACACGUGGAUAACCUACCUAUAAGACUGGGAUAACUUCGGGAAACCGGAGCUAAUACCGGAUAAUAUAUUGAACCGCAUGGUUCAAUAGUGAAAGACGGUUUUGCUGUCACUUAUAGAUGGAUCCGCGCCGCAUUAGCUAGUUGGUAAGGUAACGGCUUACCCAGGCAACGAUGCGUAGCCGACCUGAGAGGGUGAUCGGCCACACUGGAACUGAGGCACGGUCCAGACUCCUGCGGGAGGCAGCAGUAGGGAAUCUUCCGCAAUGGGCGAGAGCUUGACGGAGCAACGCCGCGGGAGUGAUGAAGGUCUUCGGAUCGUAAAACUCUGUUAUUAGGGAAGAACAAAUGUGUAAUUAACUAUGCACGUCUUGACGGUACCUAAUCAGAAAGCCACGGCUAACUACGUG
This 497-nucleotide ribosomal RNA is filed under the name uncultured bacterium. Its description in RNAcentral is "partial 16S ribosomal RNA". It matches the Rfam family "Bacterial small subunit ribosomal RNA", at positions 28 to 507 of the family's 1533-position model. The record is from RNAcentral.